GACCAGACUCCUACGGGAGGCAGCAGUGGGGAAUAUUGCACAAUGGGGGAAACCCUGAUGCAGCAACGCCGCGUGAAGGAAGACGGUUUUCGGAUUGUAAACUUCUGCUCUUAGUGAAGAAGAAUGACGGUAGCUAAGGAGCAAGCCACGGCUAACUACGUGCCAGCAGCCGCGGUAAUACGUAGGUGGCAAGCGUUGUCCGGAAUUACUGGGUGUAAAGGGAGCGCAGGCGGGAAGCCAAGUCGGCUGUGAAAACUACGGGCUUAACUUGUAGACUGCAGUUGAAACUGGUUUUCUUGAGUGAAGUAGAGGUUGGCGGAAUUCCGAGUGUAGCGGUGAAAUGCUUAGAUAUCACGAAGAACUCCGAUUGCGAAGGCAGCUUACUAAACUGCCACUGACAUUGAUGCUCGAAAGUGUGGGUAUCAAACAGGAUUAGAUACCCUCGUAUG
This 449-nucleotide ribosomal RNA is filed under the name uncultured bacterium. Its description in RNAcentral is "bacterial SSU rRNA". It matches the Rfam family "Bacterial small subunit ribosomal RNA", at positions 329 to 794 of the family's 1533-position model. The record is from RNAcentral.